UACGUAGGGUGCGAGCGUUAAUCGGAAUUACUGGGCGUAAAGCGUGCGCAGGCGGUUUUGUAAGCCAGAUGUGAAAUCCCCGGGCUUAACCUGGGAAUGGCAUUUGGGACUGCAAGGCUCGAGUGCGGCAGAGGAGACUGGAAUUCCUGGUGUAGCAGUGAAAUGCGUAGAUAUCAGGAGGAACACCUGUGGCGAAAGCGGCUCACUGGACCAUAACUGACGCUGAUGCACGAAAGCUAGGGGAGCAAACAGG
RNAcentral lists this ribosomal RNA (253 nucleotides) under uncultured bacterium. RNAcentral describes it as "partial 16S ribosomal RNA". It matches the Rfam family "Bacterial small subunit ribosomal RNA", at positions 524 to 776 of the family's 1533-position model. The record is from RNAcentral.